GAUGAACGCUGGCGGCGUGCCUAAUACAUGCAAGUCGAGCGAACAGACGAGGAGCUUGCUCCUCUGACGUUAGCGGCGGACGGGUGAGUAACACGUGGAUAACCUACCUAUAAGACUGGGAUAACUUCGGGAAACCGGAGCUAAUACCGGAUAAUAUAUUGAACCGCAUGGUUCAAUAGUGAAAGACGGUUUUGCUGUCACUUAUAGAUGGAUCCGCGCCGCAUUAGCUAGUUGGUAAGGUAACGGCUUACCAAGGCAACGAUGCGUAGCCGACCUGAGAGGGUGAUCGGCCACACUGGAACUGAGACACGGUCCAGACUCCUACGGGAGGCAGCAGUAGGGAAUCUUCCGCAAUGGGCGAAAGCCUGACGGAGCAACGCCGCGUGAGUGAUGACGGUCUUCGGAUCGUAAAACUCUGUUAUUAGGGAAGAACAAAUGUGUAAGUAACUAUGCACGUCUUGACGGUACCUAAUCAGAAAGCCACGGCUAACUACGUG
RNAcentral lists this ribosomal RNA (497 nucleotides) under uncultured bacterium. RNAcentral's name for it is "partial 16S ribosomal RNA". It matches the Rfam family "Bacterial small subunit ribosomal RNA", at positions 28 to 507 of the family's 1533-position model. The record is from RNAcentral.